GACGUGGUGGUGCAGUGGUUAAGUGCACUUGACUUUGGAUCGAAAGGUCGUGGGUUUAAGUCCUUGCCGUGGCU
Molecule: non-coding RNA, 74 nt
Organism: Gymnothorax javanicus (giant moray)
Lineage: Eukaryota; Metazoa; Chordata; Actinopteri; Anguilliformes; Muraenidae
Source: the annotation of a GenBank genome assembly